UUUUUUUUUUUUUUUUGCUUUAAUCUUAUCAAUUUCAUAUUUUAUAGCAGUGAAAAAGGUGUAUCAUAAGAGAGAGUUUGAAUGAAAUUAGUGUUCAGAAAUGAUAAUAAUGUAAUGAGAGAUGAGAACUUCUUUCAAAUAUCAGGGGGACAACGUGAAAAGGAAAAAAGGUGCUCUCUAAACUUGAGGGAGGUCAAUUAUGAAACAAACUAAAAAAUUUGUAAAACUUUCAAGCCUAUCCUAGAAGGUUAAGCAAGGCUAAAAUUUUCCACCUCUAAGACCAAUCUGUCUUCUCUUUUUCAGAACUUGAAAUUUGGAAAACCUUAUAGUCGAAAGGGCAGAAAUUGACAGGCAUGUUUUCAUAUAGAACAAAAAGCAGAUAGACUGAGCCACAUUCACUCGAUCACACAGCUUAAGAGCCUUCCUCCAGUACCCUAAACAAGAGAGUGACAUAAGAGGUACCACAACAUGGAAAGGCCUCUCAAAAAGUAUUGCAGAAGACCUGGAGAACAUGCUACGUAAUGGAGAUAACCUGUGCGUGGAAAUGGAUCCAUGAACCUACGACAGCCAAAGAUGUAUAUUCAACAAGUGUGUUAUUCCCCAGAAAGUGGAACAAAAACUUAACAAGGAUAUGUAGACUUGGAAAGAUUAAGGCCAUUUGAUGAAAAAAUUCAUCUUCCAAACAUAUCUUACGGAGGUUCCAACUUUGAAAUGUGGAAUUACCAAAUAGACAUACAUAACUCUGAAGUAUCACUAAUUGAAGAAAAAGAAUCCCAGAAUUUCAUAAUCUUGACAAUCAUCUGUUAGUCUUCAACAGAACACAUAAGAUUUUGAAGUUGAAGUAAAGCGAGUCAUAAUAAUGCCUCUAAAGAAAAGCUCAUUCAGCAGCUAGAGGGGCAUCCCCGAUAGAGUAACGCCUAUGUAACUCCCUUGCUCCUCCCUCGUCGACAAUCUUAAUUACGAAGUUUGGUGGGGCCACAACCAGUCUUGACCGAAUCUCUAUUAUGCACUUGUCAACCAAUUCAACGGCUUCCUCCAAUGUCAUAUCCCUGUGGUAGUGCCUAUCCAUCAUGGCAAGUGAAAAAUAGGACCCAUAACCAAAUGCUGCCUUGUCAACCUUGUGAAGACUAGCAAUAUAGUCAAUGUAGUACAAGGAUGGACCAGUCUCCUUGUCAUAACCAGCCAGAAGGAUAUUGACAGUGUAAGGGUUCUGAAGAAACAAAUACCAGAUCUCAGCAAAGACACAUAAGCAAUACUUAAUUUCUAACACAUAAUACAAUUGGAAACUAAAAUUUUCUUUCCCUUUCAUUCACUUGUCCCAGAAGGCCAGAGUCUCAAGUAAACUGGCAGGGAAAAAGGACAGAGAAAAAAUUAAGAUAAAAAGGAUGCACCACUGACAAGAUGGUAAACUGGAACUUGACCCACUGACUAGAUGGAAAACUGAAACUUAUGCCAGAGGAACGCUUCUCCUGCUGAGAAUGAGUUUCUUUCUUUUGGAUGCAGUUGAAAUACCCAAUAUCAUUUUAUGUUCCAUUUUUGUAUAUAGGAGACAGUAUGGUAUGAUCUUUCUUACAUUGUUUACUCUUCAACUGGACAAAGUACAAAAUUUCAGCACUUUUAAGCUGACUGACCUUAAGACAGACCACUUCCACCUAUCCUUGCAUGUGUACUUACAAUUUAUGAAAAGAUAAGGCAGCCACACACACACGACCAUGCAUGAACAAGAAUAAACUUUUCUCCAAAUAAUAUUCAUGCUGAUAAUUUAGGACUUUAGUCAACUUCACAAAACUGGAAGUUCAAGCAAGUUUGGGAACCUAAGAACAGCUUAAUUGUGUCAUUGCUUGUCACAUUUGCGUCUCUAACACAAACACUACCAUAGAUUCCAGGCUCCCACGCAAGAAAUAAUAGAAAAACAAACAUAUGAAAACCAAAAGAAGCACAUCUCUUGACUUCUUUGGCCAUCACAUACUCUUUUUGUGAAGGAAAUAAUACCAGCCUAUAACCUUUUGCAGACAGUGAGUCAAGUCAUAUUGUACUUUACCCUAAUGUCCAUCUGAAAACAUAUUAAUGCUUGGUUAGGAAUGCAAAGUAUAUAUACAAGAUAAUAGUGUGUACAGUAGACCCUGAUUUGUCCCAAACCUGGGCAAGACUUUGACAUAUAAGUAUGAGACUCAGUGUCCAAGUACAACAUGGUAAAUCUAUUUUGGCAAGACAAAUCAAGGCAAAUAAAAGAAGUCAACUCAUAGUGCUGGGACCAUGACAUAUAUCCCUACAACAGGGAUUGACUUUUUGACUUGUAAUUAGCAUGUCAGAGAGAACUCUAUCGCACUUAGGGAAGGGGUCUGAAAGCUGAACUUCAUUCCCUUCAAUGAAAACUUAAGCACAUUCAAGCUGGAAGUGUUGUCUGACAACAUAAUACCUUCCCCACCUUCCUUAGCAUUACAUAGCAAGUUCACCAUCCUAUCUUCCUCACUCAUCAGCAUCCAUCAACACUACGUGUCAAAUGACCACACAAAACAAAAACGCUCAACAUGUCACUCUUUCAAUAAAACUCAGUCCAAUAAGAAUUCACUCAUGCUACUGUAAAUGAGUAAUUGAAUACUGUUCACGAUGUUUGUGACUAUCGUCUUGAUAUGCCAUUAUCUAUGCCUAAAUCUAAAUUCAGCAUGAGUGUCACAAACAUACCAUCUUAUUCUCUUUGUGCCAUGCCAAUGGAAACAAAAUGAAAGCACUCACUUGACAUCGAACCAGACAGAAUUAAGCAUUGCCAAAUAAACAAUGCCAGAAAAUUACCUUGAGCAAAGAGAUGUACCCUGAAAAGGAUCUUACCAAUCUUAUUAUCUAUUAGAGAUUAGAUGUAAGUAAAUUGUGGAUCCUCUAAUCAAUGCGAACAAAUAGAUUAGAACUCUAGCCAACUCAUCUCAGGCAAACAUAUGACAUACCAUAUUGGAUGGGUCCAACAAUCUUCAAGACAUCACAUGAUGUAGUAGAGCAGCGUUACUAAUUCUGUUACACUGUAUUCUAGCUCCAGAAAGUUAUACCAUAUUCUUGAGUUUCCGCAAAACCAGUUAGAAGUUCCCCAGAGGACUAAUAGUAUCCUGGACGAAAGCCUAUCUAAAACUGCAGUCAUAUGUGAUAGCAUCACUCCCCAUGGGAGGUCAGGAAGGUCGUAACAUUGACUUGAAUUACACUAACAAUCCAAUUUUAAACCUGAUUUUCCAUUUUAUCUUCUUGUACAAUAAAACCUAAUAUUUCCUCAAAAGAACUGUAACUUCAAAUUUUCAUAUUUCGCAAUAUUCCAAAGCCUCUUAAGCCAAGCAGAGUGUAUAAAACCUGGAAAAUUCUUACCUUGCGCAAGGCAGUAGCAAGCUCUCCCCUUGUGAAAUUAGCAGCAGCUGCUGUGGUUAAAGGAAUGCCAUUACGGUACUGGUACAAUGCCACAUUCUUCUGUAUGUACUCAGUAAACUGGACCCUGGAAAUCAUCAAACAAAUGCACAGAACACAAAAAUUACACAACUUCGUCACAAGAAUAAUAGAACAGUUGCCAUAUAACACAUUAAAUACCAGUCCUUAACCUCAAAUUUUUACCAACCAUAUAAAAUACAAUUUUACAAUAUCUUAAGCAAAUAAUAUAUCAAAACAUGUGGUACUAUUGAACUGUCAAACUAAUAAAAACCACUGCAGUCAGCCAUAUCAUCAAACAACGAAUGAAGUUCCAAUUUCAGAAAUAUCUACUGAUUUCAAUAAAAUUUAACAGGCAAAGAAAUAACAUAGCAAUAAAACUCAAAAUCCAUAAUAGCAAAGGAAAAAAUGGCAAAUACCCACACCCCCAUAUCAUUAUGAACCCUAAAAAAUCCCAAUUUCACAAGAAAAUUCUAAAUAUAGACCCCAGUAGAAAAAUGAAAUUGUCAACCAUUACCAAGGAAUUAAAAUCAAAACCCACACUCCAAAUUCAACAAAAAAACAAAAACCCAGAACCCAACAGCAUAAAACAAAUAUCCUGAAUGAUCCCUAGUUUAUUUAAAAGAAUGAAACCUUAACUUUAUCCCAGUAAAAGCGUCCAAAUUCAAAUAGGCAAACAAAUUAAUACCUGUCACCGGCUUCACCGCUAGCUCCCAUGAGCUUAUAAUCAUCAAGCUUCAUGAUUUUAUCUUCAUCAGAUUUGUGAACUAAGAUGCUGUGAACUGCCGAUGUAUCCGAGACCACCAGAGCAAAACCCUUCCCAACUAGUCCAAAUACGCACUCCAUCUUUCUCUACUGCUAUUUUGUAAGAUUAGAUUAUCCUUUUAUAUGUACCGGAUCUAUUUGAUUUGGUUUUUCUGGAUGUCUUUUCUUUCAAUUCCCUCCGAGGGGGCUUUCUUGAUUUUUCUUGGACUGAAGUUUGCUUGAGGAGAGUGAAAGGUUUAGAUUAAUGAAGGCGUCUUGGGGAACAAGAAGACCCGGCCUGAUUUGGACUAGGACCCGGGAGAGUCCGACUUGGAUCCGGAGCUCUUAUGAUGCUGACACGACUUUCAAAUUAUACUCGUCUGAGUAGGUAAAUCUCCCCUGUGGGGUUAAGUUCCCACAUCGCUUGGGGGGGUUUGGGGGGUUUAGUAGUUAAGUGCUGCGGAGCACUUCAAAAGUUGCCGGCUUUUGAAGUGUCUUCGCAGAGUCCAUUUAUCGAAACACUCAUACAAAAAACUGUGAGUUAUGAAAGGGAAAAACCUGUCUCGGGGAGUCUGGGGGGUCUUUAUCUCUUAGCAGCGGGGCACCCUGUGGGGUUAAGUUCCCACAUCGCUUGGGGGGGUUUGGGGGGUUUAGUAGUUAAGUGCUGCGGAGCACUUCAAAAGUUGCCGGCUUUUGAAGUGUCUUCGCAGAGUCCAUUUAUCGAAACACUCAUACAAAAAACUGUGAGUUAUGAAAGGGAGUAGGUAAAUCUCGUGCUAUCCAACUGUUAUAUACACGAAAGUCGUGUCCUUCCCGAAGACCUGGCUACAUGGGCCUAAUGAGUGGAUUUCAGUGGACAAUGUUUUGGGCCAAGUGAGUGGAUCAGUCCACUAUGACAAGAUUAGCCAACAAAGGUCCAAAAAAAAAAUUUUUUUUAAACAAAAAGGUACAAACAGAAAAUUUGUCUUGUGGGAGAUAAGUAUAUCAACAAAAUUGGAGAAUGAAAGUUUACUAUUAAAGUGAGUCUCAAAAACAAGAAAUGGUAUGGAUUUUUUGAAGUCUAAAGGGGCUUAGGAAAAAAAUAAUUUUAUUGAAAGAGUUGAAACUUACACAAGUUUUUUUUUUCUUAUUUUAAUUAUUUGUUACUUGGUGUGGUUACAAAAUAUGUCUAGAAGAACAAGAUUGCGAACAAAUUCUCUGAAAAAAAAAAAAAAGAAAAAUUGACAAGGUUCAAAGACUCCAUUUUGGGCACAAGAUACCGCCUUUCCCUUUUGUAAAUCUAAAAGGAUGAUGAUAUGGACAGCAAAAGCCAAAAUAAAAAGCAUCACAUUUUUAACACAAACAAAUGAAGUUGAUAUUUUCGUGAUUUAUUAGUUGUUCAUUGAUGACAUAUAGCAUUGUUUCUGGUACUAUAACACUUAUUCAACCAACGAUUUUAGUUUUGUAAAUUGAUGUUUUCCAAUUUAACCAAAGAAAAUAUAUAUCUCCAAUUUGCAAAGUAUUAGAACAAAAGGGUACUUAACAAUUUCCUUAAUAAUACCAAACAACAACUCAGAAAUAAAUAUCGGAAAAUUAUAAUCCAUUCAUCAACUUCAUGUGGAUGGAACCAAGUAUAGAUUCACCGUCCUUAAUUAUAUUUCUCAGGGAUAUCUCAGCAUUGGUGAUAUAUCACAUUUUCAGUAACAUUUUGGUCAUGAUGGUUGAAAAUCGGCCGGUUUUGUCGGUCCAGUCCAAUCUUGCGGUGGUGGGAUUCACGGCCGGGGGGUGGUGGCGGUGGCGGUGCCGGACAAGUUGGUGGCCCUGGAGGUGGACAAGGUGCUCCCUUUCGGAAAUCGCAGCGGCACCUCCUCCAGGAGCUACACAAUAGGGGAGAACAACGCCGAUGCCUCGGUAGCACGGCCUACAGGUUUCCAUGCAUGCGUUUACAUCAGGGCAACCUCCUCCUAUGGUUUCCAAGUAGGAAGCAUCCACUUUUUCAUCCAAGAACUUCUUAUCCAAGUUCUGAACAUAAUCAUUAAACUGCAUGCAGAUGAAGUUAAUUUGAGCAAUAGAAAUAAUAACAAGAUGGUUUUCUUGAACUCGAAUUUCGUGAGAAAAAGAAAGUGAGAUUGGAGGAGUUAAUUUUUCUUUUUGGUCUCUGGUUCGGUUGUCAAUAAAAUCAAAGGGAGAAAAGAUUUGAGAUGAUCUUGUCUGAUCUCUUCAUGUUGUCUAAAUUUUUGUCUAAUAAUUUGCUGCAUCUUAUUUGUUGUCAGAGAAAAUUUUAGCAGUUCUUCUUCGAAGAAAAUAAGGUAAUAAAACAACACGAAAAGAAAGGAAAUGAAGAAAGAAGUAGACUGACUGACCUAAAGUAGCCACAAGGAAAAACGAGAACAAAUGCAGCCUUGGCCAUUUUAAAUAGGAUGAUAAUUGUAAUGACAGUUUUUUUUUUUUUUUUCUCUUUUACGGUUUUGUGAUUUUAAUUCUGAUUUAGCCUGGAAAAUAUGAAUGCAUUAAUUAUGUCCUGGUGGUAAUCUUUUCACUGCUAGAAGGAAACAGAGGGAAGAUUUAGUCUAGUGAUUCCGAUUCCACCAAAAAAAAAAAAACGCACACAAGCAAUUGCGUGUUUCUUAGUAAUAAUUUACAUGCUUCAUAGCACCAAGUUUUACAGCCUAGAUAAAGCCAACGAAGUCCAAAAUUGAAGGCGCAUGGCAUGAUCAUUCACAACUUUUUUACCGGUAUCAAAAAUGGAUGAUGAGGAAAUAUUUUUUUCCCCCUUUUUCUAAGUCUAGUAUAGUCUGAUCUCAAAUUUCAUAACAGCUUCCUGUAACAUUUUUAUUCACUUGAAAUAUAAAAUUAUAACAGCAAAAAUGACCAUAAUUUGAUCUCUAUUGAGUCUGGUUUGCAUGUUUUUGAAUAAAGUAAUUGAUGUGUUAAGAUUUCAAGAUAUUGGUGAGUGUGUUUGGAUGGAAUAUUAAUAAAAAAAUAUUAUUUACUCCCGUAUUUUUUUGUAUUGUAAUAUAUAUAUAUGAGAUAAAAGGUAGUUGAGAAUAUAAAAAAUAAUUGAAAAAUUAUAUGUGAUGCCAUAGCAAAAUGAUCUUAUUUGAAUAAAAAAGCAUCAUCAAAUUAAUCAAGCACGCAAGGAUUUUGUUUAUUUGAAAACCAAAUGAUCUUAUGCAGUUACCUUCAAGCACAUUGCUCCGAUGAGUGCCGAAAUAAACAGAUUGAUCUAGACGAGAAAUCUAAAGCCUCCUGCUGCCGAGACGCAAAGGAACCAGGAGUAGUAAAUCAGUGGUACAACCAGCGUUUACAGCAGAAACAGUUGGCAAAAUCAAUCUUUAGGGACAUUUAGAUGCAUUGGCAGAUUAAGUGUAUAUUUAUUCUAGCUUAUUAAUUUUGAUGAAUUAUUGCCUGGGCUACUAUUUUCUCUUCUUCUUUUCCCCCCCUUCUAUGCCACUGUUUUCUGGUAAUUGUAAUUCUGGCAAAAGCUGUCUCCUUGAUGAUCUCACUGCUUCUUCUUUUGAUAUGCGAAGCAGACUGUAUAUCAAAGGAAUAAAGGACGAUGAUAUGUAUGCAGUUUUUGCAGAUUUAUGGGAAUGCCAUGAUCGAACUCACUCUUUUUUUUUUUUCUCAUGUACCUUCCUCGCCUUGUAAUUUCAUGAAUGCAAAUCAGACAAUAGGGGAAGUGGGAUACCAUAUUUGUCCUUCUAAAGAAUAAACCAUCAGUAUGUUUUAAGGCCACUUAUGUUGGAUCUCUGCUUUUUAUGACAAGAACAGAACUGAAGCUGUUUUAAUGGCGUUUGGAGGUUCACAUUCUCAUUAGGGAGAGAAUUUUUUUUUUUGGAUUAUUCUUUUAUUAAUUGAAGUAUUGGAAGAAAAAUAAUAUGAAAAGGUGGAGUGAUCAGUGAUGUUAUAUUAAUUAUUGAUCUUACAGAUACAUAUGACCAAAAGUUGCAGUGGCUAAAUGUUGAUUAUGCAGGGAGAGAAUUAGUACGAUUAUGCUAAAGGUGUUUAGGGGAACAAAAUGUUGAUGCAUAUGAAGAGUACCAAAAAUUGCAUCAGAGAAUCACAAUCAAUACCCUCUUUGAAGAGGUUUAAAUCUCACAUCCUACAAUUAAAAAAAAAAAAUUCAAAGAGUGUUUCAGAGCACCCGUUUCGUCGUUAAGAUAGAUCUCUAUUCUUUUUAGCCCCUGAUACAACCUAGUUGGGUUCCCCCUCUUCUCUAAAAUAGAAUAGUGUAGACGCUGCUGAUUGACGAACAAGGCUGAAUAGGAUACCAAAAGUUUACUUAGAGUCUGUUGUACUUUUACGAAUUGCUCUAUGUAUAGUUUUUUCAACCUUAAUUAUGCUUUAUUAGCUGUAAAUGGAGAAUACAUGCAUCUGUACCAUCAACCUACAUAACUCUUUUCUAAGUUUUAGGUUUUAGUCUGGAAACGUUCAGCCCCAGAUAAAAUAUUUUUCUGUUGUUCAAGUAAUUUUGUUUAGUGAAUAAUAAAUAACAAUUAAAAAAAAUGAUAUUGUGCUGUUCAUCAUCAAGCAGCCGAUGAUCUGGCUAACGAUUCGUAAACUUUACAAACGCUGUUUGAGUAUCGCGUAUAGCUGCAUGGGCUUAGGAGGAGGGAAUAAUGGCUGAAACAUUUCACGAAAGUGUUCAGCUUGGAAGGCACCCGAGCAGGAAACUCAACAAUCUGCAAAGGUUGAAUGGACGAUUGGGUCACCAAUUUACGUAAAACUUCCUACAUCCUCUGCCUUUCCUCCUUCCAAACUAUACCGAUCCAUGGGUCCUAGCAUGCAUGACCAUACUCUAAAGCUUACGAUAAAAAUCUGCUAGUAUUUCUUUUUUCUAUGUCGCUGUUUGCUGCUAGCUACUCGGCAUACUGUCAAAAGUUGUUCCUUGAUCAUGAUCUCACUGCCUCUAUAUUUAUCCUCGAGUGUGCGUGGUAUACAGUUUGUACAAAAAGGGAAAGGACAACAUGCAGAUUUUUGCAGAUUUAUGCGGAUGCAUGAUUCAACGGCCAUCUUUUUUCAGUUUAAAGAGGAUUCAAUCUUCUUCACUUUGUAAUGUCAUGAAGACAAGUCAGACAAUAGUGCGAUCGAGAAGGAAACCAUCAUGUUCUUUAUAAAGAAAUGAACCAUCAUCUUUGAAGGCCACUAAUGUCGGAUCCCUCCUUUUCAUAACAAGGACAGAAGCUGUUUUAAUGGCAUACAUUUGGAGGUCAACUUCUUCCUUCCAUCUGAGUUUGGGACCAGAACAGGUCAAGAAUCUAGAUAUGUACUGGCAUAUGCAUUUUGGCUUUUGCCCUCCUGAAUCCAUCCUCAAUUCUAUCUUUUCAUUCUGCAUUUCCUUUGUGAUUUAUAAACUCCACAGAAGACGUUAAGUCCAUGAGCCUGUAGCAAAUUAAGUUGGAAGAUUUUAAUGUGUCAUUUUGUUAAUAAUCAUUUUACAAUUUUUUCAAAUAGCAGAAUUACACGAAAGAUUUAGAUCAUCAGCAACUCAAAACAGUUUCUACUGUAACAUGCGCAGAGUCUUUAAUGUCCUCAGUGUCCCACCACAAAGAAUAGACACCAUAGGGUGUCUGAGCAGGUUUCUUCAUGUUUUGGUUUCUUUCAUUCGUUUUCGCAAAUCCUUUUGGUCAAGGGGGCAUCAAAACGGGACCAUUUUGAAAGGUGUAAUCUUUUCCAGUUUGAAUGCUACCGAGGUAAAUUAUAAUGGAUUACAAAUCUGUGAAUAUUCCUCUUGUUUCUUCCAAUUAUUUGAUUAUUCCUCUUGUUUUGCAGGUUAAGCCUUCCAAUGGCUGCGGCGCUUCUGACAUUUUAAUUUCAGCGUGCGUGCAUGGAAGCAUGGGGGACUAAAUCAUGUUCCACUAUAAGCAUGGGAUUUUCUGCUAAGCUUAGUUUGUGAUCUAAAUAAACCCUGUGGGCCUGGUUCAUUGACAAGGACAAACACAGUCCCAAUUUCACCCGAAAAAGGGUCAAAUAGAGAGAAAUGUUAAAUUAGUCAGCUUUUAGUGUAUGCCCCUGCUCGAAUUCUUCUAAAAAUCAUCAAGAAAAUACUUAGAACUAGCGAGAAUGCUAGUCAUCAAUUCCAAUAUGAGUUAGAAAAGGAAAAAAUGAAGAUAAAAGGAUCCUCUAGAUGUUUGUUCAGGGAUUGCAGCCCUGCUGCAUUUUGCUUCGAUUUAAAUGCGUGAGUUCGUGAAGGCUAGCUAGAUUAUUACCAAAAAAAGAAGGCUUGUAAUAUUCUCAUGUUCUUCUAGGUUCAUAGGUCUCGCGAAAAGUUCAGGAAAGGAAACACAACCCUAUAAUUUGGGGACUUCCAAGAGGCCAAGUGUCAUGCGAAGAAGAAUAAUUCACACAGGCGUAAACAGUAAAGACAAAUGUGAAUGGCAUCUCUUUAUUACUCCACAACUUUGAAGGGAGAGAAGUUCUGAAUCAUGCCUUCUCUCUACCAAUUCACCUGCCAUAUCUGUAAACUUGUCUCCUACUUUUGUGGCUUCUGGUUAGCUUUUGCAGGGUAAAGAAAAGUAGACAAUAGAGAACAAGGCAGGAGGAGAUAACCAAGAAAACCACUUUUCAGUAAAAUCAUUGGCAUCAACAGUGACCAAAAUGCCUACAAGAAACUCAUUAGUCCUUUUCUCUUCUAUCACGUUAGCAAUGAGUAUACGUCAGAUCUUUACUUCCUCUCUUCAUUUGAAACAAAAAGGCAAAAAAAAGCCCAAAUGAUUAUUUUGACCAUGCAUCAUUCUCUUGCAGACAUCGAAUCUCUAACCCAACAAAUAAAGAAUC
RNAcentral lists this long non-coding RNA (10905 nucleotides) under Coffea arabica (coffee). Its description in RNAcentral is "long non-coding RNA (CARA_LNC002084)". Lineage: Eukaryota; Viridiplantae; Streptophyta; Magnoliopsida; Gentianales; Rubiaceae. The record is from RNAcentral.